RNAcentral lists this unclassified non-coding RNA (318 nucleotides) under Candidatus Tremblayella princeps. RNAcentral describes it as "Candidatus Tremblaya princeps RNaseP_bact_a". Lineage: Bacteria; Pseudomonadati; Pseudomonadota; Betaproteobacteria. The record is from RNAcentral.
GCGGUGGGGAAUCGCAAGCUAGGCGUGCCGUUUAGGCAGGCCUAGCGUAAAGGAAAGUCCGGUCUCCUGGGUUGGGGUGCGGCUUACGCCAGUACGCAGCAAUGCAUGCGCACAUGAAGGCACAGCACAGCCCGGCUGAAGCCAGGCAUGGUGGGAGCGCAAUGCGCGUGGCAGAACGCCUGCUGCAAUGGCGCCCUUUGGAGUAACCCUAUACAAGCAGCGAACAGGAGGCACGGCGCGCUGCACCCGGUGCUGAACCUGCAGGUAAGGGGCUUAGAGUUAUGAUUCUGACACUGAAUCCGGCUUAUCACCGCCACA